AUGCCACGUAAACUUAACGCAAGUUUUUCGUAAAUGCAAUUGUUCAAAUAAUGUAUUUAAAUUUUAACAAUGUAAAGAGUGCACAAAUUUAAGACAAAUUUCAAAUUAAACUCGCACGUUUUGUAACAUGUAAUAGUUCAAAUUUCAUAUCUAACUUUUAUCAAUAUGAAAAAUAAAAUAAAAAAUUGAAUUUAAGACUUCUGUUUACAAUGGAAAGAAAGUUAAGACCAAUUUUUUUUCAAAUUUUUUUUAUAACUAAAUGGAGAUUAUUCAUAAUAUAGAGUACCGCUGUAUGAGGUUUUACAGUAUUACUCUGAGUUAGAAAUCCUACUUUUUAUCACCUUGUUUUGGCCACUAUGUUAAAACUUUAGCUAAUUAUUAUAACACAAUAACUUAAGAGAAAUGUCAACAAGACUCUGUCAAAGGGGGAAUCUCUAAGAAUUAUUUGUCAUCUCACAGUUUUAAGUCGAUUUUCAUAUCAAUAUUAUAAAAUAUUAUGCCAAAAGCAUGAGGUGAAAAAAAGUUCAUACAAAAUCUGUUUUUCAUUUCUCAGAACUUAAAUGGUAAUUAAAGGUGUGAUGUGUGUGUACAAAAGUACAAGUUGAGUAGUUUUACGUUAUGGAUAGUACAAGUUGAGUAGUUUUACGUUAUGGAUAGUGAUGUAAGUGUAAUUGUCCGAACUCGAAAUGCUUUUCAUGAGUUGGGAUAAGAUUAAAGAUUGUACGACACACGCCCGCUCCAACUGCCUUGUUUCCUGCCCUGCUGCCGCCAACUCCUUGUUCCCUAAACUUCCCGCCCAAAUGAUUUUCAUCAACUCCACACUAGCUAGUAGCUUCUAUAUAAUAAUAUAAUAUAAUUUUAAUUAUUUUUCAAAAAUUUCAUUCUCAUCCUUAAAAAGAGAAACGCUAAACUUACUCUCUAUCUGUAUCAUCGAUUUAAAAGGGAUAGGAUCUACUAACACAUGUAGGUCUUAUAUAUAUUUAGAUUAUGGUACAAAUAGAUAAUAAAAAAUAAACCAAAAUUAAGUGAAAUGACACAUGACAAAUGAUUAAGUGUAUGGUAAGCAUACGUGAAAGUUUAUGAUGGUGAG
RNAcentral lists this long non-coding RNA (1090 nucleotides) under Malus domestica (apple). RNAcentral's name for it is "long non-coding RNA (MDOM_LNC000743)". The record is from RNAcentral. Lineage: Eukaryota; Viridiplantae; Streptophyta; Magnoliopsida; Rosales; Rosaceae.